RNAcentral lists this ribosomal RNA (1859 nucleotides) under metagenome. Its description in RNAcentral is "bacterial LSU rRNA". It matches the Rfam family "Bacterial large subunit ribosomal RNA", at positions 1059 to 2925 of the family's 2925-position model. The record is from RNAcentral. RNAcentral also lists the same sequence under 1 other name.
UUAAGUGGAAAAGGAUGUGGCGUUGCCCAGACAACUAGGAUGUUGGCUUAGAAGCAGCCAUCAUUUAAAGAGUGCGUAAUAGCUCACUAGUCGAGUGACACUGCGCCGAAAAUGUACCGGGGCUAAACAUAUUACCGAAGCUGUGGAUUGUCCUUUGGACAAUGGUAGGAGAGCGUUCUAAGGGCGUCGAAGCAUGAUCGCAAGGACAUGUGGAGCGCUUAGAAGUGAGAAUGCCGGUGUGAGUAGCGAAAGACGGGUGAGAAUCCCGUCCACCGAUUGACUAAGGUUUCCAGAGGAAGGCUCGUCCGCUCUGGGUUAGUCGGGUCCUAAGCUGAGGCCGACAGGCGUAGGCGAUGGAUAACAGGUUGAUAUUCCUGUACCACCUAGUAUCGUUUUAAUCGAUGGGGGGACGCAGUAGGAUAGGCGAAGCGUGCUGUUGGAGUGCACGUCCAAGCAGUAAGGCUGAGUGUUAGGCAAAUCCGGCACUCAUAAGGCUGAGCUGUGAUGGGGAGAGGAAAUUGUUUCCUCGAGUCGUUGAUUUCACACUGCCGAGAAAAGCCUCUAGAUAGAUAACAGGUGCCCGUACCGCAAACCGACACAGGUAGUCAAGAUGAGAAUUCUAAGGUGAGCGAGCGAACUCUCGUUAAGGAACUCGGCAAAAUGACCCCGUAACUUCGGGAGAAGGGGUGCUCUUUAGGGUUCACGCCCAGAAGAGCCGCAGUGAAUAGGCCCAAGCGACUGUUUAUCAAAAACACAGGUCUCUGCUAAACCGUAAGGUGAUGUAUAGGGGCUGACGCCUGCCCGGUGCUGGAAGGUUAAGAGGAGUGGUUAGCUUCUGCGAAGCUACGAAUCGAAGCCCCAGUAAACGGCGGCCGUAACUAUAACGGUCCUAAGGUAGCGAAAUUCCUUGUCGGGUAAGUUCCGACCCGCACGAAAGGCGUAACGAUUUGGGCACUGUCUCAACGAGAGACUCGGUGAAAUCAUAGUACCUGUGAAGAUGCAGGUUACCCGCGACAGGACGGAAAGACCCCGUGGAGCUUUACUGUAGCCUGAUAUUGAAAUUCGGCACAGCUUGUACAGGAUAGGUAGGAGCCUUUGAAACGUGAGCGCUAGCUUACGUGGAGGCGUUGGUGGGAUACUACCCUAGCUGUGUUGGCUUUCUAACCCGCACCACUUAUCGUGGUGGGAGACAGUGUCAGGCGGGCAGUUUGACUGGGGCGGUCGCCUCCUAAAAGGUAACGGAGGCGCUCAAAGGUUCCCUCAGAAUGGUUGGAAAUCAUUCAUAGAGUGUAAAGGCAUAAGGGAGCUUGACUGCGAGACCUACAAGUCGAGCAGGGUCGAAAGACGGACUUAGUGAUCCGGUGGUUCCGCAUGGAAGGGCCAUCGCUCAACGGAUAAAAGCUACCCCGGGGAUAACAGGCUUAUCUCCCCCAAGAGUUCACAUCGACGGGGAGGUUUGGCACCUCGAUGUCGGCUCAUCGCAUCCUGGGGCUGUAGUCGGUCCCAAGGGUUGGGCUGUUCGCCCAUUAAAGCGGUACGCGAGCUGGGUUCAGAACGUCGUGAGACAGUUCGGUCCCUAUCCGUCGUGGGCGUAGGAAAUUUGAGAGGAGCUGUCCUUAGUACGAGAGGACCGGGAUGGACAUACCUCUGGUGUACCAGUUGUCGUGCCAACGGCAUAGCUGGGUAGCUAUGUAUGGACGGGAUAAGUGCUGAAAGCAUCUAAGCAUGAAGCCCCCCUCAAGAUGAGAUUUCCCAACUUCGGUUAUAAGAUCCCUCGAAGAUGACGAGGUUAAUAGGUUCGAGGUGGAAGCGUGGUGACACGUGGAGCUGACGAAUACUAAUCGAUCGAAGACUUAAUC